GUCCUACGGGACGCAGCAGUAGGGAAUUUUCGUCAAUGGGCGCAAGCCUGAACGAGCAAUGCCGCGUGAACGAGGAAGGUCUUCGGAUCGUAAAGUUCUGUUGAAGGGGAAAAAGAGCGGAGAGAGGAAAUGAACUCCGAUUGAUAUUACCCUUCGAGGAAGUCACGGCUAACUACGUGCCAGCAGCCGCGGUAAUACGUAGGAUGCGAGCGUUAUCCGGAUUUAUUGGGUUUAAAGGGUGCGUAGGCGGUUCGUUAAGUCAGUGGUCAAAUUGAGGGGCUCAACCCCUUCCCGCCAUUGAAACU
This 305-nucleotide ribosomal RNA is filed under the name uncultured bacterium. RNAcentral's name for it is "bacterial SSU rRNA". It matches the Rfam family "Bacterial small subunit ribosomal RNA", at positions 335 to 634 of the family's 1533-position model. The record is from RNAcentral.